This 3389-nucleotide long non-coding RNA is filed under the name Mus musculus (house mouse). RNAcentral describes it as "predicted gene 10845". Lineage: Eukaryota; Metazoa; Chordata; Mammalia; Rodentia; Muridae. The record is from RNAcentral.
AGAUGAAACAGAGAGACAAAGAGAAGAGGAGGAGGAAGAGGAGGAAGAGGAGGAAGAAGAGAAGGAGGAAGAGGAGGAAGAGAAGGAAGAGAGAAACAGAAAGCCUCAAGCCUCUACGUGCAUUCUCAGGAAAGGCACUUUCUGGAACACUGGAACUCCACAUAGGUACCAACAGGAUAGCUGUGAGAGACUACCACCUAGCUCGACAGUCAGUAGAAGGUUCUCAUAUGCAAUAGUAGGUGCAGCUGGGUUACAACCUGAAAAACCUUCCAGUCUUCAUGGUCCAUCAGUUUUGUCAGUUGCUCUGGCACCUUACAGACUGUUAUAACUCUCAUCCCAACACGGCAUCGGGCAGAGAGAAUGAACAACAUCACCAUCGCCACCAUGAAGCCUGCCCCACGAACCAGAAACCAAGUCAUCCCUGUCCUCACUUCUCACCUCCCAGUGCCUUCCAGAUGAUCAACGUAGGCCAUCAAAUUGAAAGCUCUUGCUUCAACUGUGGUUCAGCUCUGAACAUGCACCUUGUUACACUUGGAUUCAGGGCAUCUGGACAAUGCAUGUGCACAGGCAUGAGCUCACAGUGUGUAUGCACAAACUUUCAGAGCUGCCUCCCUUUGCUAUCCACAAUCCACAUCCAGAGCCCUGCUGUCACCUGCAAGUCCCUGCCUGGUCUGGCUCUUGCCUGCUUUUCCAGACUCCUGCACCAUCAUCCCCUCUUCCAGCAUUCACUUAACUUCAGGCACAUCAGCGUUUUUCACCAACUGAAUUGUUCUGCACAUACUCCUACCUGGGUGUUGGGAGCCGCCCUCACAUUUGCCAUUAUAAGAUGGCGCUGACAGCUGUGUUCUAAGUGGUAAACAUAAUCUGCACACGUGCAGGGGCAGUUUUCCCGCCAUGUGUUCUGCCUUUCUCGUGAUGACAACUGGGCCGAUGGGCUGCAGCCAAUCAGGGAGUAAUACAUCCUAGGCGGAGGAUAAUUCUCCUUAAAAGGGACGGGGUUUUGCCAUUUUCUCUCUCUCUCUUGUUCUUGCUUUUUCUCUCUCUUGCUCUUGCUAUCUUGCUCUUGUUCUUUUUCUUGCUCUUGCUCUCUUGCUCUCUGGCUCCUGAAGAUGUAAGCAAUAAAGCUUUUGCCGCAGAAGAUUCCGGUUUGUUGUGUCUUUCCUGGCCGGUCACGAGAACGCAUGUAAGAGUUGGUGCCGAAACCCGGGACGAGAAGACCUGGGACGAGAAGACCCCGGACGAGAAGACCUGGGACGAGAAAACCUGGGACGGUUACCAUCACCGGCGCAAGGAAGAUCCCUCAUUCCGGAACCAGAACUGCGGGUCAUGGUAAUGAAGUGUUCCCAUAAAACAGACUGUUGAGAAGGAUUCAACUGCGUGAAUUCAGAACUCUUCAGCUGGGGAAUGGUGGUAAUGAAGUGUUCCCGUAAAACAGACUGUUGAGAAGGAUUCAACUGCGUGAAUUCAGAACUCUUCAGCUGGGGAACAGGGUACCCGUAAGUAUAGCUUUACAAGGUAAGUCUGGCCUUGAACUUUCUAACGAAAUUCAAGACAGUCUAUCAGAAGUAAAGUGGGAAAUAGCUUUACAAGGUAAGUCUGGCCUUGAACUUUCUAACGAAAUUCAAGACAGUCUAUCAGAAGUAAAGUGGGAAAUAGCUUUACAAGGUAUGUUUGGCCUUGAACUUUUUCUAGUGUUAGGAGCCUUUUUGUUCCUUUUCACAUGUUAUCAAGUGGUUAAGGCAGGGCUGAAAAUUCUGGAUGAAAUUCAGGGCAAUCUAUCAGAAGUAAAGCGGGGAGAGAGAGUAGGAGCAAAGAGGAAAUACGGUACACAAAAUAAGUAUACAGGCCUUUCCAAGGGUCUUGAACCCGAGGAAAAGUUUAGGUCAGGUAAGAAUACCUGGGGAGAGAUUAGAAGGAAGGAAAAGAAAAAAGAAAAGAAAAAAGAUCAAUUAGCGGAGGUUUCUAGGAGAAGAAGCCUAUACUCAUCACUAGGUAAGCUCAAGGAGCCAGUUCUUAAUAGUUCUGAAUCAGAUGAGAAGGCUAUUAGGGCCUGGAAGGCGCUCUCCCGAGCAGGUGAAGCCACUGGACAACUAACAAAGAUCGUCCAGAGACCUCAGGAGUCAUUCUCAGAUUUUGUGGCCAGAAUGACAGAGGCAGUAGAGCGUAUUUUUGCAGAUUCAGAGCAAGCCGCACCUCUGGUAGAAUAGCUUAUUUAUGAGCAAGCCACGCAGGAAUGCAGAGCGGCCAUAGUCCCAAGAAAGAACAAAGGUUUACAAGACUGGCUCAGGGUUUGUCGGGAGCUUGGGGGACCUCUCAUUAUGUGUUACUUCCAUUCAGUAUGAGAAAUUUACUAGGGUAGCUAAUUUGUCAAAAAGUCUUUCUCAGUAUAUGUUACAGAAUUGGACGGCUGAAUUUGAACAGACACUUCGGGAAUUGAGACUUCAGAUCAACUCCACGCGCUUGGACCUGUCCCUGACCAAAGGAUUACCCAAUUGGAUCUCCUCAGCAUUUUCCUUCUUUAAAGAAUGGGUGCGAUUGAUAUUAUUUGGAGAUACACAUUGCUGUGGAUUAGUGUUGCUUCUCUGGUUGGUCUGUAAGCUUAAGGCCCAAACUAGGAGAGACAAGGUGGUUAUUGCCCAGGCACUUGCAGCUCUAGAACAUGGUGCUUCCCCUGAUAUAUCUAUGCUUAAGCAAUAGGUCGCUGGCCAUUCAGCUCUUGCACCCCACGAGGCACGGGAUAGAGUGAGUGUGCUUCAGCAGCCCGAGAGCGUUGCAUGGCUAAGCACUGCAGUAGAAGGGCUCUGCGGCAUAUAUGAGCCUAUUCUAGGGAGACAUGUCAUCUUUCAAGAAGGUUGAGUGUCCAAGUGUCCUUCCCCCAGGAAAAACGACACGGGAGCAGGUCAGGGUUGCUCUGGGUAAAAGCCUGUGAGCCUAAGAGCUAAUCCUGUACAUGGCUCCUUUACCUGCACACUGGGGAUUUGACCUCUAUCUCCACUCUCAUUAAUAUGGGUGGCCUAUUGCUCUUAUUAAAAGAAAAGGGGGAGAUGUUGGGAGCCGCCCUCACAUUUGCCAUUAUAAGAUGGCGCUGACAGCUGUGUUCUAAGUGGUAAACAUAAUCUGCACACGUGCAGGGGCAGUUUUCCCGCCAUGUGUUCUGCCUUUCUCGUGAUGACAACUGGGCCGAUGGGCUGCAGCCAAUCAGGGAGUAAUACAUCCUAGGCGGAGGAUAAUUCUCCUUAAAAGGGACGGGGUUUUGCCAUUUUCUCUCUCUCUCUUGUUCUUGCUUUUUCUCUCUCUUGCUCUUGCUAUCUUGCUCUUGUUCUUUUUCUUGCUCUUGCUCUCUUGCUCUCUGGCUCCUGAAGAUGUAAGCAAUAAAGCUUUUGCCGCAG